UACGUAGGGUGCGAGCGUUGUCCGGAAUUAUUGGGCGUAAAGAGCUUGUAGGCGGUCUGUCGCGUCUGCUGUGAAAACUCGGGGCUCAACCUCGAGACGUCGGCGGAAACCAUCUGGCUAGAGUCCGGAAGAGGAGAGUGGAAUUCCUGGUAUAGCGGUGAAAUGCGCAGAUAUCAGGAAGAACACCCGUGGCGAAGGCGGCUCUCUGGGACGGUACUGACGCUGAGACGCGAAAGCGUGGGGAGCGAACAGG
Molecule: ribosomal RNA, 253 nt
Filed under: uncultured bacterium
Lineage: Bacteria
Description: partial 16S ribosomal RNA
Rfam family: Bacterial small subunit ribosomal RNA
Source: RNAcentral